RNAcentral lists this ribosomal RNA (274 nucleotides) under uncultured bacterium. RNAcentral's name for it is "partial 16S ribosomal RNA". It matches the Rfam family "Bacterial small subunit ribosomal RNA", at positions 523 to 796 of the family's 1533-position model. The record is from RNAcentral.
AUACGGAGGGUGCAAGCGUUAAUCGGAAUUACUGGGCGUAAAGCGUACGUAGGCGGUUCGUUAAGUUAGAUGUGAAAGCCCCGGGCUUAACCUGGGAACUGCAUUUAAAACUGGCGAACUAGAGUUGAGUAGAGGGGAGUGGAAUUUCAGGUGUAGCGGUGAAAUGCGUAGAGAUCUGAAGGAACACCAGUGGCGAAGGCGACUCCCUGGACUCGAACUGACGCUGAGGUACGAAAGCGUGGGUAGCAAACGGGAUUAGAUACCCUAGUAGUCC